GACGAACCGUGCAAACGUUGUUCGGAAUCACUGGGCUUAAAGGGCGCGUAGGCGGGCAGGCAAGUCGAAGGUGAAAUCCCACGGCUCAACCGUGGAAGUGCCCCCGAUACUGCCUGUCUCGAGGGAGAUAGGGGCGUGCGGAACUUCCGGUGGAGCGGUGAAAUGCGUAGAUAUCGUGAGGAACACCAGAGGCGAAGGCGGUUACCUGGACAGUUACUGACGCUCAGGCACGAAAGCAUGGGGAGCAAAAGGG
RNAcentral lists this ribosomal RNA (253 nucleotides) under uncultured bacterium. Its description in RNAcentral is "partial 16S ribosomal RNA". It matches the Rfam family "Bacterial small subunit ribosomal RNA", at positions 524 to 776 of the family's 1533-position model. The record is from RNAcentral.